AGAGUUUCGUCGUCCUCUCACGUGCCGCGCAUGUGGAUUGAAAACAUUGUGUUCUUCGCGCACUGCGCGCCUCUUCUCCUCUGACGGUAUCCCAUGUGCCUCCUGCUGCGUUGUCUGCCGCGCUGCCUAUCUGGUAAACUUGUUUCUCUGUCCGGGACUAUCACAUGGCUCUUCUUACCGCUACCGUCUCUCUCUCUCUCCUUCUUUUGGACAAUGCUGCUUCUAAGCCUGCUUCACUGCCCUGCUCAGAUAUCCGGUUCUCUUCAUUCGUUGCUUAAACUGUGGCUUUGGGGUUUGCUCUUCUCUUCUCUUCUUCC
RNAcentral lists this long non-coding RNA (317 nucleotides) under Coffea arabica (coffee). RNAcentral describes it as "long non-coding RNA (CARA_LNC001645)". The record is from RNAcentral. Lineage: Eukaryota; Viridiplantae; Streptophyta; Magnoliopsida; Gentianales; Rubiaceae.